RNAcentral lists this ribosomal RNA (112 nucleotides) under Periophthalmus magnuspinnatus. Lineage: Eukaryota; Metazoa; Chordata; Actinopteri; Gobiiformes; Gobiidae. The record is from RNAcentral.
UCCCAUGCUCAUAACACCUUGUCAGUGCCUGAUUGCUGAAGCUAAGCGGGACUGGGUCUGGUUAGUACUCAGAUGGGAGACCGCUGGGGAAUAGCAGGUGCCACAGUGGGGC